CCAGUUCGGAUCGCAGCCUGCAACCCGGCUGCGUGAAGCUGGAAUCGCUAGUAAUCGCGGAUUAGAAUGCCGCGGUGAAUACGUUCCCGGGUCUUGUACACACCGCCCGUCACACCAUGGGAGUCGGAAAUGCCCGAAGUCUGUGACCCAACCGGAAGGAGGGAGCAGCCGAAGGCAGGUCGGAUGACUGGGGUGAAGUCGUAACAAGGUAUC
RNAcentral lists this ribosomal RNA (213 nucleotides) under uncultured bacterium. Its description in RNAcentral is "partial 16S ribosomal RNA". It matches the Rfam family "Bacterial small subunit ribosomal RNA", at positions 1288 to 1500 of the family's 1533-position model. The record is from RNAcentral.